GCUUCUCUUUCUUGUAUUCCCCUCAUCCCAGCCAUCAUUAAGUACUAACAGCUCUACUGUCAACCUCUGACCAUUUCUCGUCACUUUCACUGUUAUCACAUUGGUUCAAGUUACCAUCAUAUUCACCUGAGUUAAUUGCAAUAGCUUUAUAACUAUACCUACUAGAAGACGUCACUGCUUUGACUUUUGCCACACUCUUUCUUACACCCAAGUUAUUCUCAUCCAAUAGCCAAAAUUAUCAUUUUAAAGCCUAAAUCUGAAUAUGAUACUUUUCUACUUAAAACCUUCCAAUUGCUCUCCAUCUCACUCAAAAAAUUCAUACCUGACAAUUGUCUAUAAGGCCCUAUACAAUCCUAUUGCUCUAACUUCAUCAUCUAUUCACCCACUAGUUCACUAGGAGCCAGCCAA
Molecule: long non-coding RNA, 408 nt
Filed under: Homo sapiens (human)
Lineage: Eukaryota; Metazoa; Chordata; Mammalia; Primates; Hominidae
Description: non-protein coding lnc-C3orf30-10:1
Source: RNAcentral